RNAcentral lists this long non-coding RNA (540 nucleotides) under Ursus maritimus (polar bear). RNAcentral describes it as "lncRNA (ENSUMAG00000004763.1)". Lineage: Eukaryota; Metazoa; Chordata; Mammalia; Carnivora; Ursidae. The record is from RNAcentral.
CACACGCAGAAGGAAUAUUAGGUCACACCGUGACGUUGAUCACAUCCCGGCUUCAUUAAAUGUGACAUUUACUGAGUCCCAAGAAUAAAACAAGAGGAAUUUUAAAGGUUAAAGACCAAGGAGGACAUGAAAGAGAAAGUAAAAGGACUUUCUUGGAGUCACGCUGACUUACGCCUCGGGAGGGGCACGAUGCUCCGUGGGGCUUGGCUCCUCAGUGGGGACGCACCGGAAGCAAAUCUGUAGAACGGUGGGAACAUGAUGUCUCGAGGCUGGCAUCUCGUGGAACAUCAGCGUCACCCGCUGCUGGCUUUCCUGUCGCGAGCUACAGAUGCGGGGCGUCUCGUCUGCAAGGUCAGAGCUGUUCGUCAGAGAGACUAAAGGUACCGAGUCUCGGACACCCCAGUGAGCGGUGAGUCCAGUUAUGUACUGGAACAUUUUAAAAAUCACCAAAUAAUUGGAAAUUCCUCUUUUAUCAUUAAAAAGUUACAAAACAUUCACUCAAUUAAUAAAAUCAAACACAAGAUACGUUGAGGACGAAGU